This is a long non-coding RNA of Asterias rubens (European starfish), 591 nucleotides long. RefSeq lists it as uncharacterized. The transcript is spliced from 3 exons. The record is from RefSeq and is a predicted model, not a curated record. Lineage: Eukaryota; Metazoa; Echinodermata; Asteroidea; Forcipulatida; Asteriidae.
UGUCGUCACAGACCUACCACCGUUUUUACCAUAGAGUUUACAAAAGGAGUGUUUUUCGGUAACAGACACACUUUUGAUAAAAGUUUAUCACACGUUCAACGGCUUAGACGAAUUGUUGGAAAAUUAGGGGAGUACUUCGACAUUUUUAAAAGAAAUAUCACCUUCCAGCAGUACUUAAAGAUGCCUAACAAUCCUGGAGCUGCACGGAAAGGACUACAGGGUACAACUAAUCCAGCCGUUGCGGACCCGAGACGAGUAAAGGGCCAAUAUCAGUGCGAAUUUUGCGGGAAGUUCUACACGUCCGAAUGGUGGUUUAACAACCACUUAGAGAAAGAAAAAAAGCCCCAUUCCUGCAAAAUCUGCAAGAAAAGGUAUACAUAUAAGGCUUGUCGUGACACCCAUCAAGCCAACUGCAAAUAAUGCGUCAUGUGUGAUUCCUACCAAGAUCUUUCGUGAUGAAAAUUGCUUUUCGGCAUUGUAUUAAUCAAUUGUGUUGGCUUUGACGUUUCAAAAUCAACUAUUCCAGAACCCAUGAACAUAAUAUUUUUGAACAGUAAGUUUGGCGACGAGAAUCAUCUAUACACUUCCUUA